Non-coding RNA from Malassezia sp. CBS 17886, 91 nucleotides. The record is from the annotation of a GenBank genome assembly. NCBI's taxonomy places the organism in Eukaryota, Fungi, Basidiomycota, Malasseziomycetes, Malasseziales, Malasseziaceae.
UCCUAGUUAGUACAACGGUUAGUAUAUGUCGCUCUCACGCGUCCGUCUGUGAAGCGCCGACAAGACCCGGGUUCGACUCCCGGAUUGGGAA